Molecule: ribosomal RNA, 473 nt
Filed under: uncultured Desulfocapsa sp.
Lineage: Bacteria; Pseudomonadati; Thermodesulfobacteriota; Desulfobulbia; Desulfobulbales; Desulfocapsaceae
Description: bacterial SSU rRNA
Rfam family: Bacterial small subunit ribosomal RNA
Source: RNAcentral
GGACGGGGCCCGCACAAGCGGUGGAGUAUGUGGUUUAAUUCGACGCAACGCGCAGAACCUUACCUGGUCUUGACAUCCCGGGAAUUUCCUUAAAAGAGGGAAGUGCCUCGCAAGAGGAGCCUGGAGACAGGUGCUGCAUGGCUGUCGUCAGCUCGUGUCGUGGGAUGUUGGGUUAAGUCCCGCAACGAGCGCAACCCUUGUCUUUAGUUGCCAUCAUUCAGUUGGGCACUCUAAAGAGACUGCCGGUGUCAAACCGGAGGAAGGUGGGGAUGACGUCAAGUCCUCAUGGCCUUUAUGACCAGGGCUACACACGUACUACAAUGGCCGGUACAAAGGGCAGCCACUUAGCGAUAAGGAGCCAAUCCCGUAAAGCCGGUCUCAGUCCGGAUUGGAGUCUGCAACUCGACUCCAUGAAGUUGGAAUCGCUAGUAAUCGCAGAUCAGCACGCUGCGGUGAAUACGUUCCCGGGCCUU